Molecule: long non-coding RNA, 853 nt
Filed under: Numida meleagris (helmeted guineafowl)
Lineage: Eukaryota; Metazoa; Chordata; Aves; Galliformes; Numididae
Description: lncRNA (ENSNMEG00000010995.1)
Source: RNAcentral
GAUUCCCGAGGAGUGUUGGCCCGGCAGCUGCAAAGCAGAGGUGCUUUUCUGGUGCCCGACUGAAGACCUUUCAAAGCUGCUGACUUGGAGAGCUAUCAGCUCUGCGCUCAUCCUCCCUAAGUGCUGUCAAGUCGGGCUCACAGAAUUGCCGUUGCUCGUGGAGACGCGGGCUGUUGUUGUGCCGGUGACUCAGGCAACACCAGGCAUCACGGAGAGCGUGAGGAGGUUGGGUUACUCAAAGCAGGGUUACUCAACGCGCCGUUGAUCCCUGUGAGAAGUGCUCUUCCUCCUCGCUCACUCUUUCUUGCCACUUUUGUCAAAGCAAACUCGAGGGCUCCGUUCAGGUUCCAGCGUGCAGCAUCUUGAAAAGAAAGAUUUGUCCCAGGGGCAGGAGGAAGCCAUCCAAAGCCGCCUCCUCUUCCUCCUCUGAUCUUUCUCCACCCGCCCGCGGGCUCAGGACACCGCCACGUCCUGCACGCAUCGCCUGAGCCCUGGAAAGUCUCUCCAUAGGCUGCUGCUGCUGCUGGGGCCUCCAUGCUGCUGUGCACAGAGGGCGGUGAGAGCACGGCGUCCCGGGCUGCAGUUUCACAAUGGUUUUCCAUGCAGCCGAAUCAGCAGCGCCGGCAGCCACGGGGCACUCACCUACCAGCACCAGCACUGGGCCACUGCAGGCGGAGAUGGGGAUCUAGAUGAACUGAGAACCCUGCAAGAAAUGGAACUGAAAUCCUGAUCUCAGCGUGGUUCUAAACCCAACGUUUCCAGCAGGAAAAGCUACAAGUGACUGUGUCAUGCCCCAGCCCCAGUGAGCAACCAAAGGGCUGGAGCCAGGAGGAGACACGGGGAGGGGAAGAGA